AGUGAACGCUGGCGGUAGGCCUAACACAUGCAAGUCGAACGGCAGCACAGGAGAGCUUGCUCUCUGGGUGGCGAGUGGCGGACGGGUGAGGAAUACAUCGGAAUCUACUCUGUCGUGGGGGAUAACGUAGGGAAACUUACGCUAAUACCGCAUACGACCUAUGGGUGAAAGCAGGGGACCUUCGGGCCUUGCGCGAUUGAAUGAGCCGAUGUCGGAUUAGCUAGUUGGCGGGGUAAAGGCCCACCAAGGCGACGAUCCGUAGCUGGUCUGAGAGGAUGAUCAGCCACACUGGAACUGAGACACGGUCCAGACUCCUACGGGAGGCAGCAGUGGGGAAUAUUGGACAAUGAGCGCAAGCCUGAUCCAGCCAUACCGCGUGGGUGAAGAAGGCCUUCGGGUUGUAAAGCCCUUUUGUUGGGAAAGAAAUCCAGCUGGCUAAUACCCGGUUGGGAUGACGGUACCCAAAGAAUAAGCACCGGCUAACUUCGUGCCAGCAGCCGCGGUAA
Molecule: ribosomal RNA, 506 nt
Filed under: uncultured bacterium
Lineage: Bacteria
Description: partial 16S ribosomal RNA
Rfam family: Bacterial small subunit ribosomal RNA
Source: RNAcentral